RNAcentral lists this ribosomal RNA (981 nucleotides) under human gut metagenome. RNAcentral describes it as "bacterial LSU rRNA". It matches the Rfam family "Bacterial large subunit ribosomal RNA", at positions 1950 to 2925 of the family's 2925-position model. The record is from RNAcentral.
CCUAAGGUAGCGAAAUUCCUUGUCGGGUAAGUUCCGACCUGCACGAAUGGCGUAAUGAUGGCCAGGCUGUCUCCACCCGAGACUCAGUGAAAUUGAACUCGCUGUGAAGAUGCAGUGUACCCGCGGCAAGACGGAAAGACCCCGUGAACCUUUACUAUAGCUUGACACUGAACAUUGAGCCUUGAUGUGUAGGAUAGGUGGGAGGCUUUGAAGUGUGGACGCCAGUCUGCAUGGAGCCGACCUUGAAAUACCACCCUUUAAUGUUUGAUGUUCUAACGUGGGCCCCUUACCGGGGUUGCGGACAGUGUCUGGUGGGUAGUUUGACUGGGGCGGUCUCCUCCUAAAGAGUAACGGAGGAGCACGAAGGUUGGCUAAUCCUGGUCGGACAUCAGGAGGUUAGUGCAAUGGCAUAAGCCAGCUUGACUGCGAGCGUGACGGCGCGAGCAGGUGCGAAAGCAGGUCAUAGUGAUCCGGUGGUUCUGAAUGGAAGGGCCAUCGCUCAACGGAUAAAAGGUACUCCGGGGAUAACAGGCUGAUACCGCCCAAGAGUUCAUAUCGACGGCGGUGUUUGGCACCUCGAUGUCGGCUCAUCACAUCCUGGGGCUGAAGUAGGUCCCAAGGGUAUGGCUGUUCGCCAUUUAAAGUGGUACGCGAGCUGGGUUUAGAACGUCGUGAGACAGUUCGGUCCCUAUCUGCCGUGGGCGCUGGAGAACUGAGGGGGGCUGCUCCUAGUACGAGAGGACCGGAGUGGACGCAUCACUGGUGUUCGGGUUGUCAUGCCAAUGGCACUGCCCGGUAGCUAAAUGCGGAAGAGAUAAGUGCUGAAAGCAUCUAAGCACGAAACUUGCCCCGAGAUGAGUUCUCCCUGAGACUUAGAGUCUCCUGAAGGAACGUUGAAGACGACGACGUUGAUAGGCCGGGUGUGUAAGCGCAGCGAUGCGUUGAGCUAACCGGUACUAAUGAACCGUGAGGCUUAACCUU